AGACCCGAAACCCGGUGAUCUAGCCAUGGGCAGGUUGAAGGUUGGGUAACACUAACUGGAGGACCGAACCGACUAAUGUUGAAAAAUUAGCGGAUGACCUGUGGCUGGGGGUGAAAGGCCAAUCAAACCGGGAGAUAGCUGGUUCUCCCCGAAAGCUAUUUAGGUAGCGCCUCGUGAAUUCAUCUCCGGGGGUAGAGCACUGUUUCGGCUAGGGGGCCAUCCCGGCUUACCAACCCGAUGCAAACUGCGAAUACCGGAGAAUGUUAUCACGGGAGACACACGGCGGGUGCUAACGUCCGUCGUGAAGAGGGAAACAACCCAGACCGCCAGCUAAGGUCCCAAAGUCAUGGUUAAGUGGGAAACGAUGUGGGAAGGCCCAGACAGCCAGGAUGUUGGCUUAGAAGCAGCCAUCAUUUAAAGAAAGCGUAAUAGCUCACUGGUCGAGUCGGCCUGCGCGGAAGAUGUAACGGGGCUAAACCAUGCACCGAAGCUGCGGCAGCGACACUGUGUGUUGUUGGGUAGGGGAGCGUUCUGUAAGCCUGCGAAGGUGGCCUGUGAGGGUUGCUGGAGGUAUCAGAAGUGCGAAUGCUGACAUAAGUAACGAUAAAGCGGGUGAAAAGCCCGCUCGCCGGAAGACCAAGGGUUCCUGUCCAACGUUAAUCGGGGCAGGGUGAGUCGACCCCUAAGGCGAGGCCGAAAGGCGUAGUCGAUGGGAAACGGGUUAAUAUUCCCGUACUUGGUGUUACUGCGAAGGGGGGACGGAGAAGGCUAUGUUGGCCGGGCGACGGUUGUCCCGGUUUAAGCGUGUAGGUGUGUGUUCCAGGUAAAUCCGGUUCACUUUAACACUGAGGCGUGACGACGAGGCACUACGGUGCUGAAGCAACAAAUGCCCUGCUUCCAGGAAAAGCCUCUAAGCAUCAGGUAACAUCAAAUCGUACCCCAAACCGACACAGGUGGUCAGGUAGAGAAUACCAAGGCGCUUGAGAGAACUCGGGUGAAGGAACUAGGCAAAAUGGUGCCGUAACUUCGGGAGAAGGCACGCUGACAUGUAGGUGAAGUGAUUUACUCAUGGAGCUGAAGUCAGUCGAAGAUACCAGCUGGCUGCAACUGUUUAUUAAAAACACAGCACUGUGCAAACACGAAAGUGGACGUAUACGGUGUGACGCCUGCCCGGUGCCGGAAGGUUAAUUGAUGGGGUCAGCGCAAGCGAAGCUCCUGAUCGAAGCCCCGGUAAACGGCGGCCGUAACUAUAACGGUCCUAAGGUAGCGAAAUUCCUUGUCGGGUAAGUUCCGACCUGCACGAAUGGCGUAAUGAUGGCCAGGCUGUCUCCACCCGAGACUCAGUGAAAUUGAACUCGCUGUGAAGAUGCAGUGUACCCGCGGCAAGACGGAAAGACCCCGUGAACCUUUACUAUAGCUUGACACUGAACAUUGAGCCUUGAUGUGUAG
Molecule: ribosomal RNA, 1449 nt
Filed under: Salmonella enterica subsp. enterica serovar Stanleyville
Lineage: Bacteria; Pseudomonadati; Pseudomonadota; Gammaproteobacteria; Enterobacterales; Enterobacteriaceae
Description: partial 23S ribosomal RNA
Rfam family: Bacterial large subunit ribosomal RNA
Source: RNAcentral